UUGCUUCUGCAGCACAUAUACUAAAAUUAGAAUGAUGAUACCGACAAGAUUAGCACGGCCCCUGCGCAAGCAUGACAUGCAAAUUUGUGAAGUGCUCCAUAUUUAU
Molecule: small nuclear RNA, 106 nt
Organism: Tachyglossus aculeatus (Australian echidna)
Lineage: Eukaryota; Metazoa; Chordata; Mammalia; Monotremata; Tachyglossidae
Source: RefSeq, a predicted model, not a curated record